UGGGGGAUAUUGCACAAUGGGCGAAAGCCUGAUGCAGCGACGCCGCGUGGGGGAUGAAGGCCUUCGGGUUGUAAACUUCUUUUGCUCUGAACAAGGCAUGCUAAUGGGUGUGUUGAGUGUAGGGGUUGAUUAGCGCCGGCUAACUACGUGCUAGCAGCCGCGGUAAUACGUAGGGCGCGAGCGUUGUCCGGAAUUAUUGGGCGUAAAGGGCUUGUAGGUGGCUGGUUGCGUCUGUCGUGAAAGCUCAUGGCUUAACUGUGGGUUUGCGGUGGGUACGGGCUGGCUUGAGUGCAGUAGGGGAGGCUGGAAUUCCUGGUGUAGCGGUGGAAUGCGCAGAUAUCAGGAGGAAUACCGGUGGCGAAGGCGGGUCUCUGGGCUGUUACUGACACUGAGGAGCGAAAGCAUGGGGAGCGAACAGG
RNAcentral lists this ribosomal RNA (419 nucleotides) under bacterium. RNAcentral describes it as "partial 16S ribosomal RNA". It matches the Rfam family "Bacterial small subunit ribosomal RNA", at positions 355 to 776 of the family's 1533-position model. The record is from RNAcentral.